Long non-coding RNA from Canis lupus familiaris (dog), 5388 nucleotides. RefSeq lists it as uncharacterized. The record is from RefSeq and is a predicted model, not a curated record. The transcript is spliced from 6 exons. NCBI's taxonomy places the organism in Eukaryota, Metazoa, Chordata, Mammalia, Carnivora, Canidae.
CCCAAGGAAGCACGCAGGGAAGCGCCUAGUGGUCCGACGAGGGCUCCCUAAGCAAGCAACACGAGAGGAGAGGGAGGAGAGUAGGGCAAGCUAGUCACUAGAGGGAGGAGAUUCAAAGCAGAAGGAAGAGCAUGUGCCAGGGUCCUGAGGCAUGAGUGUCCCCAAGGGUUUGGAGGAGAACAAGCAAGCGGGGGCGGGGGUGAGGGAAGGAGAAUGGGACAUGGGGGGCAAGCUGUCUUGAAGCCGUGAUUAGGAGCCCGGAUUUGAUCUGCACCAGGAGCCACUGAGGGUCCUGAGCAGGGGAGUGACGCCUGAUGCACAUUUUAAGAUCUGUUUAGGGAGGCAGGAGGAGGCAGGUGGUUUAGAGUGUGGGCUGGGUAGGGCCGUGCUGGGGACCAAACUGACAUUACCUGCUGUUUGCUGGGAUGUGGGGCACGACAACCUGGCGUUUGGGCUGGAGUGUGGCAGCUGGCCCACUUUCUGGGAUGGGGCAAUGGCCACAGCCGAGUUCUGUUCUGGACACAUGGCCCCCAACGAACGCACAGAGGUGGCUGGGGCUCGCCUCUCCCACCCCCUCCUCAGUCUCCCCUCACCCCCUCCUGUGUGGCCCUUUAGUGGGGUGCCAGAUGCCUUGGAGGCUCGGCUCCCGCUCUUCAGCCUCAACAGGCCUCCUGUCAAGUGUCUGGGUCUCUGCAGAAAGCUGCCUGGCCCCUGGUUUUGCCACCCAAAGCCCUGGCCCACAGUGCUGCUCCUCUGUCUGCCCUCGGGCGUCUCCCCAUCACCUGACUGUGCGGGGACUUUGCAGUCCCAUCCUUGGCCUGGUCCUUGCCCCCAGGCAUACUGUGCUCUGCAGGGUCUGGUGGCCCCUCCCCUCAGCGGAGACAACCAAGAAUGUCUCCAGAGCAGACUUUUAUUACAGAAGAAAACCUUAUCCAUGAGCAGCAGCACAAGGACACGUUCUGGGAUGAGUGCUGGGGAGGCAGCCAGAAACGAACCAGUGCAACACUCACCUGGAUUAAGAAAGCACCACGUGAAAGGUGAACCACAGAAACCACAGAACGAGGACAACACGUCCCCCAGACGUGCAACAUACUCGCUUUCUAAAGACUGAAGAAGUGAAGAGAUUAUAACGUCAAAGUUCAUCUGACGUGCUUGGAAAGUCAUGUCUCCCGUGUGCACGACCACCAGCGGAGUGAGAGCAUCUAGCCCCGCAGCCACCUCCACCUGCCAGGUGUGCGGGGUGUGAGAAUCCCACGACGCCCAGUGCUCAAGCUGACAAGUAAACAAGUGCGUGAUAAAACCAGAUUGCCCCGGGCUGCUGCAGGGACCUGGGGCGCACAAUGGGACAGGGCGCUCUUGUGGACCCCAGUCCGGGGGCGACGUGUGCGCUGGGGCCGAGGGACCCUGGGUGCUCACCCUACAGGCCUCGGAAGCCCACGCCUCCGGAAGCUGCAGACAACCACGGGCAGCAGCGUCCACCUGCCCCCGUGGGCCAGCCUGGAUCCCGGCAGGACUCUGGUCAAGAGGGCCACUGGCGCUGUGGGCUGUGGAACAGGCAGUUGUGAGGCGGACGCGGGAGACACAAUUGCUAAGCUCAGCGCAGAGGUCCCUGGAGGCUCGGAGCAGAGCUGUGUCCUCAGGCAGGAGACACGGAGCCUGCCCAUCAUCUUUGUGGCUGCUCCCACCCUGCGCUGGCCCUCAGCCCACUCCCUUUCCGGUCCCAGCGCUGCUCCCUUGGCCCUUGGGGACACCUCCUUUACCUGGCUGCGAACCUGCCCUCACUUGUCCUGCUCCAGAGAAAAUGUCCAUGUGUCCCCAGUGUCACAGGCGUCUGUCAUGAGCACCAGGACUCGGGCGCCCUGGGCUGUCCUCCCUGGAACCGAGGCCGCAAGGCUGCGCUCAGUCCAGCCGUCCUCCGCAGCGUGUCUUGGGGAAAGGAAUGGUCACAAGUCUUGGUGUCCGGACUCGGGAUGGACAUGAGAGGUCACUAGAAAUCAAGCCCAGGUGACACCCUGGUGCCUACAGCUCCCCAGGAAUGCAGAGGACCUGGCAAGGGUGACCAGAGGUCAGCCCCCCAGUCUGUAGGGAGGGGAGGAAGCAGAGCCCCGCUUGCGAUGUGGACUCACUGCCCAGUCUCCCACAGCGCUGGCUCCCACCUUCCCUCAGAUCGAGGUCGGCAUGAGGCCCGUAGGAACAGAUCCCAGCGUGAAGGGCGAUCUACGGCACGUCCCUGGGACAUCUGCUGGCGUCCCCGUGUCCAUUCCAUUCGAGGUCCUCCGUGGCUCCCCGCCAACCCAGCGCCCUCCAUGUGGGCCAGGUGCCGAGGUGCUCCGUGGAUGCUGCUGUAACUGCCCUCCGGCAACAAGAACCAUGCUCAGCGGGGGGCACCCCAAAGGUUCUCAUGUGGAAGAAGCAUUUCUCUGGGACAUUCCCAGGACUCCAGGGAAGCCGCUGACUUUGCUGGUGGGGUCCCUCCCAGGCUGGGCAGGCUCAGGAUUACCCCUCCUGGGUGGGCGGGGCCAGAGGUGUGCCGGCAGCGCCGGCAGCGGUGCAAGGUGAGCUGCUCUCACGGAAACACCUUCUGAACAAAGAAACGCAGUUAUCACCUGGCUGGCUGCAGGGAAGCUGCGAGCACACAGGUGGGGAGGGCUGGAGAGGCCUGGAGGCAGGACUGGCCGGGGCUCCACCCACGCACCCCAGGCCUGGGCCCGGACAGACCCGGGAGGAGAGCGCUCGUUUCCUGCAAAGUUAAAGUUAGAACAGGAGUGUUGCAGACGCACGUAGCCCUUGGGUGAACGGGACACACCGGAGGCCACCGAAGCCGGGCGCCCAGUCCCCGCGGGCCGCUGCUCCACCCCGUUGGCUUCUGCGCUUCAUCAGCAGCAUCUUGGGCGACCGACUUCCUUUGUUCUGAGCCACAGACAUGGACGGGCAUCUGCUUGCUUCGCUGCUGACGUACAUGUGAAGUCAGCUGUGGUUUUCCUGGAGGAGGCGCCAAGGGCUGUCGGCAGGCAUGGCCACCUCCCAUGCCUCGCUACGAACAUGAACACCUGGCAAGAAGCCCCACGCCCACUGUGGGACUUGAACUCACAACCCGGAGAUCAAGAGUCGCAGGUUCCACCCACAGAGCCUGCCGGGCGCCCCCAGAGCCACCAUCCUUAAAACAGUUGGGGUGAAGCAGCAGUGCCCUGAGGACUUCACGUGAGUCACCGAGUCAGGUUAAGCACCGUCAGCAUCCCACGUCAUGCCUGCGGAAACUGAGGCAGCACGAGGUUAAGAGAGGCCCAGGUCCCACCUGGGCAAGGUCACUAACCCCUGUGUUCUUCACCACCCACCUCCUCUCCAGAGAGCAAAGCCAUAUUGGGUGGGAGUCUAUUUCUUUGUCUCCUAACAAACUGGCACGGACGAAAACGCACCUGCCUGCCGCUGGAGAGGAGGGCAAACCCGCUGUCUGUGCGCUGCCGGGGCGCCAACCGCCACAGCCCGGAGAAGGGUCCCGGCCAGGCUCAUCUCCACCGUCGUACCACGUCUGGAGACCCAUCCUGCUGCCCUGAAUACAGAAAAGAAAGCGUCUGCCAACUGUGCUCUGGACGCAGGAGCCGCUGACACCCAAGCAGUGUGCUUCCUCGCACCCGGUGCUCAUACACGUCUCCUUACUGUCUCUGCCGAACAUCUGAGAGUAAAUUGCAGACCUCGUGCCCGUGUCCUUGGAAAGCUUAGUGUGCGUCUCUGACAACCAGGAUGAGGCCCGGGAUGACCACAGGCCACAAGCCAAGCACGGAGUGCGGAGACAGAUGCAGCCCUGCCACCCAGUGGACAGCAUGGACAUAAGGACCUUCCUGCAGGAUAUAUUCCCCAAAGACCAAGGCCAUUCUGGGGCUCCAAACAGCUGGAAGUGCAUCAUUUCCCUAGUAAAAGCCCUGUUGCCUCCUAAGUGACUGUCACAUCACCCUCCUCACACCGUUGGAAACUCUGGGACCCCUGGCAGCUCUCUGCAGAGCGAGGAGCCCCAUGUGGAUCACUCCUGGAGGGCAGCCUAGGGUGGGCACGGAGUGGGGACUCGCCCGGGGGAGAUGGGGCCUGGGGACCAGGUGAGAAGACGUGAAACUGACCUGGACGCUGACCCCUGGGGGGCAGGGCGCACUGGCUCCCUUCUGGACACCCCCGUGGCAGAUGCAGGCUGGCCUGAGCUGCCCUCACAUCCUUGGGGCCCCCACAUGUCCAGGGCAGGAAUUGCCCGCGAUGGCAGCCCGUAGAUCCUGGGUGAUCCACACGGCGCGUCAGGCCGCUCACCGUGGCAGGGGCUGGGCUGGGUGGAGGCAGGAGGGGCCAGUUCCCAGGGACACGGGGUGAGGGCAGGGGUUCCAGGGCUGGUGCUGCACGGCUGGAGGGGGGAAGCCGGGGCACAAACCGCAGGACUGUCACCACGGCCAGCCUCGCAGGGACAGCAGGUGGGUGGCGUGGCACCAGGGCACCGACCGCGGAGCACCGCUGUCUAGCUCAGCGCUGCAGGCUCCUGCCUGGUGCACAGGGAUGGGCUCGGGGCCUGGCAGGUCCACAGUCUGCAGACUGGAGUCCCCCCAAGGAGCAGGUGAGAGGGCGGAAAGCAGAGCAGACGCCACGGGCAGAGGCUGCAGGUGCUGGGCCGCUCCCCGGAAGCCACGGCCUCCGGGCACAGACAGCGGGGGAUACCCCGUCUCUGGUGCCGCGGCCACAGGUGCCUCCCGCGUUAUCACGGGAUCUUGAUCCAGGGCUGCUUCGCACCGGAGAGGUCUGUACCACGCUCGGGCACUUGCUUACUGUGCAGGCUGACUUUCCUGAUGACGGCGGGGCGGCGCGCAGGUGCAUGGGGCUCGGGGCCUGCCCGGCACCCAUCGGGCACUCAGGAGGGACAGCGGGCGCGCGGCCCCCACGGGCCCCAUCGGCACAGGCAGUGGCUCGGCAGCUUCCUACACUCAGUGCUUCUUCCGCGGGUGACGCUUCCGAUGGCGGAUGAGGCAGGAGCUGUAGGCAAAGGUCUUCCCGCAUUCCUGGCACUCGUACGGCUUCUCCCCGGUGUGCGUCUUCCGAUGUUUCAGGAGGUUGGAGCCGCAGUUGAAGGCCUUCCCGCAUUCGCUGCAUUUGAAGGGCUUUUCUCCAGUAUGGAUUCUGUGGUGCUUGGUGACGUCGGAGCUGUGGCGGAACGUCUUCCCACACGCGUCGCACGGGAAGGGCUUCUCUCCUGUGUGUACCCGCUGGUGGCGGAGGUGGUCUGUCUUGUGCUUAAAGACGCGGCCGCACUCCCCGCACUCGUAGGGCUUCUUUCUCUGGAAAGGAGUGAACACAGGGACCCCCUCAAAGUCAUCUUUAAACGAAGCAUCGAAGGCGUCAAAUAAAUGUUCUUCAUCC